RNAcentral lists this ribosomal RNA (510 nucleotides) under uncultured bacterium. Its description in RNAcentral is "partial 16S ribosomal RNA". The record is from RNAcentral.
GGAGUUAGCCGGUGCUUCUUCUGUGAGUGAUGUCCUUCCUGCCGGCUAUUAACCCGCAGGCCUUCUUCCUCACUGAAAGUGCUUUACAACCCGAAGGCCUUCUUCACACACGCGGCAUGGCUGGAUCAGGGUUGCCCCCAUUGUCCAAUAUUCCCCACUGCUGCCUCCCGUAGGAGUCUGGGCCGUGUCUCAGUCCCAGUGUGGCUGAUCAUCCUCUCAGACCAGCUACGGAUCGUCGCCUUGGUGAGCCGUUACCUCACCAACCAGCUAAUCCGACAUAGGCUCAUCCGAUAGCGCGAGGCCCGAAGGUCCCCCGCUUUCCCCCGUAGGGCGUAUGCGGUAUUAGCCUGGGUUUCCCCAGGUUAUCCCCCACUACCGGGCAGAUUCCCUAUGCAUUACUCACCCGUCCGCCGCUCGCCACCAGGGAGCAAGCUCCCCGUGCUGCCGCUCGACUUGCAUGUGUAGCUCGCCGCCACGCGUCAUCUACGAACCAACGAUACAACUUACUGA